UGCAAGUCGAGCGCGAAAGGCCUUCGGGCUGAGUAGAGCGGCGGACGGGUGAGUAACGCGUAGGAAUCUACCUGGUAGUGGGGGACAACUUGGGGAAACUCAAGCUAAUACCGCAUACGCCCCACGGGGGAAAGCGGGGGACCUUCGGGCCUCGCGCUAUCAGAUGAGCCUGCGUAGGAUUAGCUAGUUGGUGAGGUAAAGGCUCACCAAGGCGACGAUCCUUAGCUGGUCUGAGAGGAUGAUCAGCCACACUGGGACUGAGACACGGCCCAGACUCCUACGGGAGGCAGCAGUGGGGAAUAUUGCGCAAUGGGGGCAACCCUGACGCAGCCAUGCCGCGUGUGUGAAGAAGGCCUUCGGGUUGUAAAGCACUUUCAAUGGGGAAGAAAAGCGUAGCGUUAAUAGCGUUGCGCCGUGACGUUACCCAUAGAAGAAGCACCGGCUAACUCCGUGCCAGCAGCCGCGGUAAUACGGAGGGUGCGAGCGUUAAUCGGAAUUACUGGGCGUAAAGCGCGCGUAGGCGGUUUGUUAAGUCAGCUGUGAAAGCCCCGGGCUCAACCUGGGAACUGCAGUUGAUACUGGCCGACUAGAGUACGAGAGAGGGAGGUAGAAUUCCAUGUGUAGCGGUGAAAUGCGUAGAUAUAUGGAGGAAUACCGGUGGCGAAGGCGGCCUCCUGGCUCGAUACUGACGCUGAGGUGCGAAAGCGUGGGGAUCAAACAGGAUUAGAUACCCUGGUAGUCCACGCCGUAAACGAUGUCUACUAGCCGUUGGGAGACUUGAUUUCUUAGUGGCGCAACUAACGCAAUAAGUAGACCGCCUGGGGAGUACGGCCGCAAGGUUAAAACUCAAAUGAAUUGACGGGGGCCCGCACAAGCGGUGGAGCAUGUGGUUUAAUUCGAUGCAACGCGAAGAACCUUACCAGGUCUUGACAUCCAGAGAACUUUCCAGAGAUGGAUUGGUGCCUUCGGGAGCUCUGAGACAGGUGCUGCAUGGCUGUCGUCAGCUCGUGUCGUGAGAUGUUGGGUUAAGUCCCGUAACGAGCGCAACCCUUGUCCUUAGUUGCCAGC
Molecule: ribosomal RNA, 1068 nt
Filed under: uncultured bacterium
Lineage: Bacteria
Description: bacterial SSU rRNA
Rfam family: Bacterial small subunit ribosomal RNA
Source: RNAcentral